This 544-nucleotide ribosomal RNA is filed under the name uncultured eukaryote. Its description in RNAcentral is "partial 18S ribosomal RNA". It matches the Rfam family "Eukaryotic small subunit ribosomal RNA", at positions 1283 to 1675 of the family's 1831-position model. The record is from RNAcentral.
CAUGGCGUUCUUAGUUGGUGGAGUGAUCUGUCUGGUUAAGUUCCGAUAACGAACGAGACCUCAACCUGCUAAAUAGUUAUCGGGAUGGUUUCGCAUGGGUGAAGCGUUGGGGACGGGAAGGUUGGGGCCGGUCGGGAAACCGGUCGGUUCUGGCCUUUCGCUCGGCGUGGAUCCCGAACGCAUCCCGAUGCGGUGGAGGCGGCGCGGUGCAAGCCGUGCCGUCGACCCAUCGUGCGUCGCUCGCGAUCGUAACUUCUUAGAGGGACUGUUUGGGUUAUACCAAACGGAAGUUUGAGGCAAUAACAGGUCUGUGAUGCCCUUAGAUGUCCUGGGCCGCACGCGCGCUACACUGACGGACUCAGCGAGUUACGUUCCCCUUCAAAAAAGGGAACGCACCUUGGCCGGAAGGUCUGGGUAAUCUUGCCAAACUCCGUCGUGAUGGGGAUAGAUCUUUGCAACUGUGGAUCUUGAACGAGGAAUUCCUAGUAAGCGCAGGUCAUCAGCCUGCGUUGAUUACGUCCCUGCCCUUUGUACACACCGCCCC